UGAACGCACCUUGCGCCCUCUGGUAUUCUGGAGGGCAUGCCUGUUUGAGUGUCAUGUAGACUCAACCCAGUCGGGUUUUUCCGACCGAGUUGGACUUGGGUGUUGCCGUCCUCUGGCUUGCCUUAAAUUUGUUAGCGGUCCAUAAGCACCGAACCUGGCGUGAUAAGUUUCGCCCGUACUAGGAUGCAAUGUGGUCGCUCAAAACCGCCCUUGGGCAUCUUUUGAUUCUGACCUCAAAUCAGGUAGGACUACCCGCUGAACUUAA
RNAcentral lists this unclassified non-coding RNA (265 nucleotides) under uncultured fungus. RNAcentral's name for it is "sequence contains ITS2". The stretch from base 1 to 54 matches the Rfam family "5.8S ribosomal RNA", at positions 101 to 154 of the family's 154-position model. Lineage: Eukaryota; Fungi. The record is from RNAcentral.